This 482-nucleotide ribosomal RNA is filed under the name uncultured bacterium. RNAcentral's name for it is "partial 16S ribosomal RNA". It matches the Rfam family "Bacterial small subunit ribosomal RNA", at positions 30 to 507 of the family's 1533-position model. The record is from RNAcentral.
AUUGAACGCUGGCGGCAUGCCUUACACAUGCAAGUCGAACGGUAACGGGCCUUCGGGUGCCGACGAGUGGCGAACGGGUGAGUAAUACAUCGGAACGUGCCCGAUCGUGGGGGAUAACGAGGCGAAAGCUUUGCUAAUACCGCAUACGAUCUACGGAUGAAAGCAGGGGACCGCAAGGCCUUGCGCGGACGGAGCGGCCGAUGGCAGAUUAGGUAGUUGGUGGGAUAAAAGCUUACCAAGCCGACGAUCUGUAGCUGGUCUGAGAGGAUGAUCAGCCACACUGGGACUGAGACAUGGCCCAGACUCCUACGGGAGGCAGCAGUGGGGAAUUUUGGACAAUGGGCGCAAGCCUGAUCCAGCCAUGCCGCGUGCAGGAUGAAGGCCUUCGGGUUGUAAACUGCUUUUGUACGGAACGAAAAGCCUUCUUUUAAUACAGGAGGGUCAUGACGGUACCGUAAGAAUAAGCACCGGCUAACUACGUG